Molecule: ribosomal RNA, 501 nt
Filed under: uncultured bacterium
Lineage: Bacteria
Description: partial 16S ribosomal RNA
Rfam family: Bacterial small subunit ribosomal RNA
Source: RNAcentral
GACGAACGCUGGCGGCGUGCCUAAUACAUGCAAGUCGAGCGGACCGGAUUGGUGCUUGCCUUGAUUCGGUCAGCGGCGGACGGGUGAGUAACACGUGGGCAACCUGCCCGCAAGACCGGGAUAACUCCGGGAAACCGGAGCUAAUACCGGAUAACACCGAAGACCGCAUGGUCUUCGGUUGAAAGGCGGCCUUUGGGCUGUCACUUGCGGAUGGGCCCGCGGCGCAUUAGCUAGUUGGUGAGGUAACGGCUCACCAAGGCGACGAUGCGUAGCCGGCCUGAGAGGGUGAGCGGCCACACUGGGACUGAGACACGGCCCAGACUCCUACGGGAGGCAGCAGUAGGGAAUCUUCCGCAAUGGGCGAAAGCCUGACGGGGCGACGCCGCGUGGGGGAAGAAGGCCUUCGGGUCGUAAAGCUCUGUUGUGAGGGACGAAGGAGCGUCGUUCGAAGAGGGCGGCGCGGUGACGGUACCUCACGAGAAAGCCCCGGCUAACUACGUG